This 19-nucleotide small RNA is filed under the name Arabidopsis thaliana (thale cress). RNAcentral's name for it is "ATSL023270". Lineage: Eukaryota; Viridiplantae; Streptophyta; Magnoliopsida; Brassicales; Brassicaceae. The record is from RNAcentral.
UUUUUUUUAUGUUUUUUGU